This 1363-nucleotide long non-coding RNA is filed under the name Marmota monax (woodchuck). Lineage: Eukaryota; Metazoa; Chordata; Mammalia; Rodentia; Sciuridae. The record is from RNAcentral.
AGUGAUUUGCCCCUGUGGAUCUCUUCCUGAGAGCAGGGGCAUGGAAAGGCAAUUAGCUUGGUGGGGUCUCUCUCUAUUGGGCAUUUCUUUCUUCUCCAUCACCCUCAUUGCAGCCGUAGCCUCUACAUAGUGCCCCAAUUUCCCUCUGCUCCUAAGGCACCUCCUCCCACCGUCAAAACUGACAUUUCACAUAUUCACCAGGAGAAGAGCUUUAACCACAGGAAUUUGUUUUCUGCCAGUUCUGGAGGCUACAAGCCUGAGGUCCAGGGUUGGUUCCUUCUGAGGGCCAUGAAGGCCGAAUCUGCCUCAGACUCUCUCCUCAGCUUGUAAUGACCACCUGCUUCCUGUGUCUUCAUCUUCCCUCUCUUUGUGUCUGUCUCCUCUUCUUCAAGGAUACCAGUUAGAUUAGAUCAGAGCCCACUCAUUGGCUUCAUUUUUACUUGCUCACUACUGUAAGGACUUGAUUUCCAAAUAAAGUCCCAUGCUGGGAUGAUGGGCCUUAGGACUUUAUGCGGGAUGAGAACAGAGUUCAACCUGCAACCCCAGCCAAGCUUGCAGCCCAUGGAGAGCGAGCUGGGGCGAAGACAGGGCUUGUUUCUCGUGGAUCUCAGACCACCAUUGUCCACCUGCAUGAGCUUGGGGACAGGUCACCACCUCUGAGAGACUCUGAAGUAAGCAGGGUCACAGAUACUUUUCAAAGCUAUGAUGGCAGGUACACAGGACAGCAUCCGAAAAAGUCCCAGGACAACAUCGGAGAUGUCAAAGACCCUCAAUAAUGAUUGGUUCCUCCUUUUGUCCACAAUAAAAGAACAUUCACAGGCAAGGACGGAGCUCAGUCAUCAAAAAAGAGAACAGCACAAAGGAUACCCACACUGCCCUUGGAAAGUUCUGAUCAACACAACCUCACAUGUGAAAACGAAGAGGCCACGAAGAGUACAAUAAAGAAAGCAAAGUGGUCAAUGACACAAAGACGUGACCCGUGGGCUCCCCCUCAAUAUUUACAUAUUCACAGAGACCCCUCUCAUAAUUUCUUACUUUCUUUCUCAAAUUAGGAAGGGUGACUCCUUGUGUAGUUUUACUUUAUAUAAUAAUAAUGACAUUUAUGUUGCUUUUCUGAUAAGGGAAUACAUGUAUUGUUUAUAAAAUAAAAUAUAAAAAUUAUAUAAUAUCUCACACAUAAUAUACAAUAUUUGGUUUGGGGUAAAAAUGGGAGUUCAUAACCCACUUGAAUCUAAUGUAUGAAAUAUGAUAUGUCAAGAGCUUUGUAAUGUUUUGAACAACCAAUAAAAAAAUAAUAUACAAUAUUUGGAAAUAUCAUUAUUUACUUUUUUAAGUAAAAACCUGUUACCAUUGGCAUUUAAAA